AUUGAACGCUGGCGGCAUGCCUUACACAUGCAAGUCGAACGGCAGCGCGGACUUCGGUCUGGCGGCGAGUGGCGAACGGGUGAGUAAUACAUCGGAACGUACCCUGUUGUGGGGGAUAACUAGUCGAAAGAUUAGCUAAUACCGCAUACGACCUGAGGUUGAAAGUGGGGGACCGCAAGGCCUCACGCAGAAGGAGCGGCCGAUGUCCGACUAGGUAGGUGGUGGGGUAAAGGCCCACCAAGGCGACGAUCAGUAUCUGGUCUGAGAGGACGAUCAGCCACGCUGGGACUGAGACACGGCCGAGACUCCGACGGGAGGCAGCAGUGGGGAAUUUUGGACAAGGGGGGCAACCCGGAUCCAGCAAUGGCGCGUGUGUGAAGAAGGCCUUCGGGUUGUAAAGAACUUUUGUCCGGAAAGAAAUCGCGCUGGUUAAUACCUGGCGUGGAUGACGGUACCGGAAGAAUAAGCACCGGCUAACUACGUGCCAGCCGCCGCCGUAA
Molecule: ribosomal RNA, 500 nt
Filed under: uncultured bacterium
Lineage: Bacteria
Description: partial 16S ribosomal RNA
Rfam family: Bacterial small subunit ribosomal RNA
Source: RNAcentral